UGGGGAAUAUUGGACAAUGGGCGCAAGCCUGAUCCAGCAAUGCCGCGUGUGUGAAGAAGGCCUGCGGGUUGUAAAGCACUUUCAGUAGAGCAGAAAAGCCCAGGGUUAAUACCCCUGUGUCUUGACGUUACCUACAGAAGAAGCACCGGCUAACUCCGUGCCAGCAGCCGCGGAAAUACGGAGGGGGCAAGCGUUGUUCGGAAUUACUGGGCGUAAAGGGCGCGUGGGCGGCACAUCAAGUCAGAGGUGAAAGCCCCGGGCUCAACCUGGGAAUUGCCUUUGAAACUGAUGAGCUAGAGUCCGGAAGAGGAUAGCGGAAUUCCCAGUGUAGAGGUGAAAUUCGUAGAUAUUGGGAAGAACACCAGUGGCGAAGGCGGCUAUCUGGUCCGGUACUGACGCUGAGGCGCGAAAGCGUGGGGAGCAAACAGGAUUAGAUACCCGUGUAGUCC
RNAcentral lists this ribosomal RNA (449 nucleotides) under uncultured prokaryote. Its description in RNAcentral is "bacterial SSU rRNA". It matches the Rfam family "Bacterial small subunit ribosomal RNA", at positions 355 to 796 of the family's 1533-position model. The record is from RNAcentral.